RNAcentral lists this ribosomal RNA (189 nucleotides) under Amanita fulva. Its description in RNAcentral is "partial 28S ribosomal RNA". It matches the Rfam family "Eukaryotic large subunit ribosomal RNA", at positions 1 to 173 of the family's 3401-position model. Lineage: Eukaryota; Fungi; Basidiomycota; Agaricomycetes; Agaricales; Amanitaceae. The record is from RNAcentral.
UUUGACCUCAAAUCAGGUAGGACUACCCGCUGAACUUAAGCAUAUCAAUAAGCGGAGGAAAAGAAACUAACAAGGAUUCCCCUAGUAACUGCGAGUGAAGCGGGAAAAGCUCAAAUUUGAAAUCUGGCAGUCUAUUUUUUCUUCUUUGGCUGUCCGAGUUGUAAUCUAGAGAAGUGCUUACCUGCACUG